GUCUCUUCAGAGACAUCAGUUAGAAUUGGAAUGAUACAUAGAAAAUUAGCAUGGUCACUGCGCAAAGAAGGCACAAAUCUAAAAAUGGUCCAAGAGAGAGAG
Molecule: non-coding RNA, 102 nt
Organism: Amborella trichopoda
Lineage: Eukaryota; Viridiplantae; Streptophyta; Magnoliopsida; Amborellales; Amborellaceae
Source: Rfam